RNAcentral lists this ribosomal RNA (744 nucleotides) under Salmonella enterica. Its description in RNAcentral is "bacterial LSU rRNA". It matches the Rfam family "Bacterial large subunit ribosomal RNA", at positions 1 to 1221 of the family's 2925-position model. RNAcentral also lists the same sequence under 1 other name. The record is from RNAcentral. Lineage: Bacteria; Pseudomonadati; Pseudomonadota; Gammaproteobacteria; Enterobacterales; Enterobacteriaceae.
AGCCCCACCACUAAGCCAGUGGUGAACUCCACAUACGCAUCCUUUGCUGAGGAUACGGUUAACGGAGCGAAAGCGACGUUCAACCGCAAAAGAAGCAGAGGGGGCUUAGUGGUGGGGUGACUGCGUACCUUUUGUAUAAUGGGUCAGCGACUUAUAUUCUGUAGCAAGGUUAACCGAAUAGGGGAGCCGGAGGGAAACCGAGUCUUAACCGGGCGUUAAGUUGCAGGGUAUAGACCCGAAACCCGGUGAUCUAGCCAUGGGCAGGUUGAAGGUUGGGUAACACUAACUGGAGGACCGAACCGACUAAUGUUGAAAAAUUAGCGGAUGACCUGUGGCUGGGGGUGAAAGGCCAAUCAAACCGGGAGAUAGCUGGUUCUCCCCGAAAGCUAUUUAGGUAGCGCCUCGUGAAUUCAUCUCCGGGGGUAGAGCACUGUUUCGGCUAGGGGGCCAUCCCGGCUUACCAACCCGAUGCAAACUGCGAAUACCGGAGAAUGUUAUCACGGGAGACACACGGCGGGUGCUAACGUCCGUCGUGAAGAGGGAAACAACCCAGACCGCCAGCUAAGGUCCCAAAGUCAUGGUUAAGUGGGAAACGAUGUGGGAAGGCCCAGACAGCCAGGAUGUUGGCUUAGAAGCAGCCAUCAUUUAAAGAAAGCGUAAUAGCUCACUGGUCGAGUCGGCCUGCGCGGAAGAUGUAACGGGGCUAAACCAUGCACCGAAGCUGCGGCAGCGACGCUUAUGCGU